Molecule: ribosomal RNA, 500 nt
Filed under: uncultured bacterium
Lineage: Bacteria
Description: partial 16S ribosomal RNA
Rfam family: Bacterial small subunit ribosomal RNA
Source: RNAcentral
AUUGAACGCUGGCGGCAGGCCUAACACAUGCAAGUCGAGCGGAUGACGGGAGCUUGCUCCUUGAUUCAGCGGCGGACGGGUGAGUAAUGCCUAGGAAUCUGCCUGGUAGUGGGGGACAACGUUUCGAAAGGAACGCUAAUACCGCAUACGUCCUACGGGAGAAAGCAGGGGACCUUCGGGCCUUGCGCUAUCAGAUGAGCCUAGGUCGGAUUAGCUAGUAGGUGAGGUAAUGGCUCACCUAGGCGACGAUCCGUAACUGGUCUGAGAGGAUGAUCAGGAACAAGGGAAGUGAGAAACGGCCAGGACUCCUAGGGGGGGCAGAGGGGGGGAAUAUUGGAAAAGGGGCAAAAGCCUGUUCCGGCCAUGCGGGGUGUGUAAAGAAGGUUUUCGGUUUGUAAAGCAUUUUAAGUUGGGAGGAAGGGUUGUACGUUAAUACCGUGCAUUUUUGCCGUUACCGACAGAAAAAGCACCGGCUAACUCUGGGCCAGCCGCCGCCGUAA